GGGCCUGAUUUGGUUUCGACUUUGGCACUCGUGCCGGGAGAAGCGAGCCGUGGUUGUCGGAGUCCACGUUAAAGAGCCGGCACAAAAAUCAAAUGCCAACGACAACGUUGCAUUGCUCGCUGCCUAAUUAGGUAGCAGCCGUUCGUCCGGCCCCAGCCCUGCGGGUCGGUAGCGAACGUCAUCUAGUGGGGCUUACUCCUCGACUGCGUCAGCGGGUCGAGAAGGACAACUCAGCUGACUGGGGUCUCGCCCUGGCGCCGGUGACGGCGGCGGGACCCGAGACGAACUCACCGGCUGCGCUCGGAGAAGACCCGGUAUGACGUUAAAGGACGCGGGUUCGAUCCCCGCCAGGUCCAA
Molecule: transfer-messenger RNA, 357 nt
Filed under: Actinomycetota bacterium
Lineage: Bacteria; Bacillati; Actinomycetota
Description: Actinobacteria bacterium transfer-messenger RNA
Rfam family: transfer-messenger RNA
About the family: Bacterial tmRNA, also known as 10Sa RNA or SsrA, is named for its dual tRNA and mRNA-like properties. Its role is to liberate the mRNA from a stalled ribosome.
Source: RNAcentral